Molecule: ribosomal RNA, 465 nt
Filed under: Vreelandella stevensii
Lineage: Bacteria; Pseudomonadati; Pseudomonadota; Gammaproteobacteria; Oceanospirillales; Halomonadaceae
Description: partial 16S ribosomal RNA
Rfam family: Bacterial small subunit ribosomal RNA
Source: RNAcentral
CCUACGGGAUGCAGCAGUGGGGAAUAUUGGACAAUGGGCGAAAGCCUGAUCCAGCCAUGCCGCGUGUGUGAAGAAGGCCUUCGGGUUGUAAAGCACUUUCAGUGGGGAAGAAAGCCUUGGGGCUAAUACCCUCGAGGAAGGACAUCACCCACAGAAGAAGCACCGGCUAACUCCUUGCCAGCAGCCGCGGUAAUACAGAUGGUGCGAGCGUUAAUCGGAAUUACUGGGCGUAAAGCGCGCGUAGGCGGUCUGAUAAGCCGGUUGUGAAAGCCCCGGGCUCAACCUGGGAACGGCAUCCGGAACUGUCAGGCUAGAGUGCAGGAGAGGAAGGUAGAAUUCCCGGUGUAGCGGUGAAAUGCGUAGAGAUCGGGAGGAAUACCAGUGGCGAAGGCGGCCUUCUGGACUGACACUGACGCUGAGGUGCGAAAGCGUGGGUAGCAAACAGGAUUAGAUACCCCGGUAGUC